GGGGAUGUAUUGGCAUUCGACAUUGGUCAAUUGGAAUGCUAAGUCGCAAUCUGGGGGUCGCGCUGUCCCCCCACAUAUCCGUCCAGCGCAAAUUUAGAUGCUAAAUCAGUAUCAGAAUCAAGCUUGGCUUACCGUGCUCAGUAUGGACUUGCUCCAGCUAUGGCAUUUGCAUAAGCUAACUUGGUUUUCCUAGGUGCCUUUUGUGCGCCUUCGUCUUUACGGCUGAAGCCUGAUGAUCCGUAAAGGCGUCAUAUUAUUGGGCUAGACUCUUCUGUUACGGUUUUCAGUAGACUCGAAAUAUAAAGAACCGACCGGCCUUUGGCGCUUUUGUUCGUUUUUUAUGCCAAUCGACGUAACUAAAACAAACUAUGAUUGUAGAAGCUUAUCGUUUCGGCCAUUGCACCCGGGUUCGACUCCCGGCAUCUCCACCA
This 431-nucleotide transfer-messenger RNA is filed under the name Patescibacteria group. RNAcentral describes it as "PNNO01 sp013824265 Standard tmRNA". It matches the Rfam family "transfer-messenger RNA". Rfam says of the family: Bacterial tmRNA, also known as 10Sa RNA or SsrA, is named for its dual tRNA and mRNA-like properties. Its role is to liberate the mRNA from a stalled ribosome. RNAcentral also lists the same sequence under 1 other name. The record is from RNAcentral.